GGAUAUCGAUGUCAUGCUCAAAAUUACAAUUAUGAAAAUUCAGAACACAUUCAAUGCCGCUUAUAUCUAAUCGGCCGAUCAUUCAUCAAUCUAGUAAAUGUGGGACAUAGGGAUCUGACCUAGCCCAGCCUGCCAUUAUGCUACAAAUCUGCUUAAUAUUGUGAUUCAAACAUUUUUUUAUGAUCAAAAUAUCUUAAAUAUAAUAUAAAAUUAAGUUAAAAUAUUUAAAUAAUUUUCAUAUUAUUUAUUUUAAUAUACGCAUUGACGUGGCAUCCACGUAGCCAAGGCUAACGUGCGCUAGUUAAAUAACCCGUUGGCUGCGCUGCAGCGACACCUGAAGCAAAAACGGUGAUGCCAAUUGCCAAGCAUAAGAAACUACAAGAAUACAAAAACGACGACUCGUUGAGCACGAGGAAAUCGAAGGAGACGCUAAAGCCAGAGACGGUGCGCAGGCUAAGCCAGCGCACCCUAGCACUCCCCGCCCCUGCGCCUACCUAUAAAGCAGAAAAUUUAUUCGCUCCUUUUUCAAGUUAUUAAUAUUUUUUUGUUUUUGUUUUGAGUUUCGAUUGCUUUCGAAAAGCAUUGAAGCCGCGACGUAGAUCAUAUCAAGGGUCCAGUGCCAUUGUCUGAAUCGAACAAGACCCACGUCGAAUACUCCAAAAGAUCUCACGCCAUACUCUUGUUUUCGAUCCUUUUUCUUUCUUCUUUUUCUCGCCCACCAAACAGAGGAUUGGGUAGGUUUUGUUGGUAUUUUCUUUCUAAAAAAAAUUAAUGAAUUUCGAGGGUUUUCGUAAAACACGGAAAAGAAUUCUCGUGAUUUGUUGCGCAUUGUUUACAUGCAUCAUGUCAUGUGUGGUACGUUAAUAAGAGGAGUGUAUAUGUGUAUGUUUGUGUUUGAUGUGUGCGAGUUAUAGUGGGCAGGUGGUGUCGUCAGUGAAGAAGAUGCUAAGCCAGGUGGUGAAGGUCCAAAGAAAGAAGCUCACCGCAUGCAUGACAUGUCCUCUCUGCAAUAAGCUGUUUAGAGACGCUACUACCGUCUCUGAAUGUCUCCACACCUUUUGCAGGAAAUGCAUAUAUGACAAGAUAUGUGAUGACGACUUAGAUAGCUGUCCGGUGUGCAAUAUCGACUUAGGAUGUGCUCCACUAGAGAAGCUCAGGGCAGACCACAGCCUGGAAGAUCUAAAGGCCAAAAUCUUUGCUUCCAUAAGAGACAAAACUAAGGCACCUGCAGUUUUGCCCUCUGUCCCAGAAGCUGUACCCUCAUCCCCAUUAACAGGCAGAAGAAAGGAGAGAUAUUUAUCUUCAUUGGUGGUCAACACACCCAAAAUAGCAGCAAAGUCUACUCUGCCUAGAAAAAGAUUGAAAUCCAUUGCAAGGAAGAGUCCAGCUUUACGAGAAUCUAUUCUUGCUGAGGAAUUACUUGUUAAGAAAGUGGAUGCUUGUUGCCAUGAGAGUUUAAGCUCACCUGAAACUCUAAGCAAAAUUGCACAAGCUAAAAGGCAGAAUUCCAUUCCCGAGUCAUCCAAACAGUACAAGACAAAUAAGGAUAGAGAAGAGGAUAGUGCUGAACCAUGUGAAGGCGAAACUGAGUUGUGGAAACCCUUAAAUCGUGUGGUUGAAGCUGCAAACAAAUCAAAGCACAGUAAGUCUGAUAUAGAGGAAGCUACUGUCCAAAUGCAGCUGCCUGGUCCUGCAGAGAAUGAAGCUCAAGUGCUUAAAUCCGUUGUUAAGGAGCAUGGUAAAAAAUCAGAAGUUAAUGGUGAUGAAAAUAACUCAUCUCUGUCACCAGAAGAUUCAGUUAAGACUAGAAAGUUGCAAGGCAUACGGCAACAAAGAGCAGUUGUCUCCAAGGGCUUGAAUAUUAUUCCAGCACAAACUAUUGUUGAUGCAAGCAGUAAAUGCGAUGGAAGAUUUAGUCCAAUUUGGUUCUCAUUAGUUGCUUCUGAUGAUCAGGAAGGAAAUGCACCCUUGCCACAGAUAUCUCCAUGCUACUUGAGGAUUAAAGACGGCAACUUACCCGUUUCAUAUAUUAAAAAGUAUCUAGUGCAAAAGCUGGGUCUUGCUACCGAGGCUGAGGUAGAGAUCUCACUACAUGGCCAGCCGGUUCUUUCUACAUUGCAGCUGCAUCAUUUGGUGGACUGGUGGUUGCAGAUGGCACCAUCAUCUGAAAGAAUACAGACAAGCGUUGGCAGCUCAGCGAAAGAAUUUGUGAUGGUUCUGUCAUAUGGUAGAAAAACUCAACCUCCAUGAAAUAUUUGCACCAUGAACGUGAAUGGCAUCACUGAAUUUCAGUCCAAAUUUGGAGUCUUCAAUGUGUAUAUACACAGAAUCCAUGGAACGAAGGUAGCUGUAAGAAAGCAGGACAAGUAUAGGAUUCAUAUCGCCUUACAGGCAGCACUGAAACUGAAAAUU
Hevea brasiliensis (rubber tree) is the source of this 2412-nucleotide RNA transcript. It is a transcript of the gene named E3 ubiquitin protein ligase DRIP2, with no coding region annotated. The record is from RefSeq and is a predicted model, not a curated record. Lineage: Eukaryota; Viridiplantae; Streptophyta; Magnoliopsida; Malpighiales; Euphorbiaceae. The transcript is spliced from 8 exons.